RNAcentral lists this ribosomal RNA (210 nucleotides) under Salmonella enterica subsp. enterica serovar Ohio. RNAcentral's name for it is "partial 23S ribosomal RNA". It matches the Rfam family "Bacterial large subunit ribosomal RNA", at positions 2733 to 2925 of the family's 2925-position model. The record is from RNAcentral. Lineage: Bacteria; Pseudomonadati; Pseudomonadota; Gammaproteobacteria; Enterobacterales; Enterobacteriaceae.
UGGCACUGCCCGGUAGCUAAAUGCGGAAGAGAUAAGUGCUGAAAGCAUCUAAGCACGAAACUUGCCCCGAGAUGAGUUCUCCCUGAGACUUAAAGUCUCCUGAAGGAACGUUGAAGACGACGACGUUGAUAGGCCGGGUGUGUAAGCGCAGCGAUGCGUUGAGCUAACCGGUACUAAUGAACCGUGAGGCUUAACCUUACAACGCCGAAG